GACGAACCGAGCGAACGUUAUUCGGAAUCACUGGGCUUAAAGGGCGCGUAGGCGGGCCGUCAAGUCAGGGGUGAAAGCCCCCAGCUCAACUGGGGAAGUGCCUCUGAUACUGGCGGUCUCGAGGGGGAUAGGGGCGUGCGGAACUUCCGGUGGAGCGGUGAAAUGCGUAGAUAUCGGAAGGAACACCGGUGGCGAAAGCGGCGCGCUGGAUCCCUUCUGACGCUGAGGCGCGAAAGCCAGGGGAGCGAACGGG
RNAcentral lists this ribosomal RNA (253 nucleotides) under uncultured bacterium. RNAcentral describes it as "partial 16S ribosomal RNA". It matches the Rfam family "Bacterial small subunit ribosomal RNA", at positions 524 to 776 of the family's 1533-position model. The record is from RNAcentral.